This 98-nucleotide transfer RNA is filed under the name Hirsutella minnesotensis 3608. It matches the Rfam family "tRNA". Rfam says of the family: Transfer RNA (tRNA) molecules are approximately 80 nucleotides in length. Their secondary structure includes four short double-helical elements and three loops (D, anti-codon, and T loops). The record is from Rfam by way of RNAcentral. Lineage: Eukaryota; Fungi; Ascomycota; Sordariomycetes; Hypocreales; Ophiocordycipitaceae.
GCUCCCGUAGCUCAGUUGGUUAGAGCGUCGUACUAAUAUCCGGAGAGAUCCCAUAACUAGUAAUGCGAAGGCCAUAGGUUCGAGCCCUAUCGGGAGCA